This 1149-nucleotide long non-coding RNA is filed under the name Apteryx owenii (little spotted kiwi). RNAcentral's name for it is "lncRNA (ENSAOWG00000018497.1)". Lineage: Eukaryota; Metazoa; Chordata; Aves; Apterygiformes; Apterygidae. The record is from RNAcentral.
AACUGGAACAAGACCUUCCUCAGAAUCCCUUUCUUGGUCUGCUGAAAUUUUGUCUAAAAGUUAUAUCCUACCUCGUCCCAAAAGACCCAAGAUCAUAUCUACUGCAUUGCCCACAAGUGAAAUGACCCCUGUCAAGUUGAGCAGCAGACGGAAAGCUGUCUUGUUAUAUGAAGAAUUAAAAGCAAAAGCUCCAGAAAUGCUGGCCCAAAUUAUUCAUCUGCUUGCACGUUGUCGUAAGAAGGGCAUCCAUGUGCCAUGAAGGGUCAGGGUUAUUUCUGAAUUCAGCUUGAAUGAGCUAACUGUCACCCUGCCAAGGGAAACAGUGCUACUGGGUUUUGUCCUAUUCAUAUUCCCUCCAGGUCUUCCCUAGAGCCCUGCAAGGCAGAGAAAGCUGCCUCUGAGGCAGUGAUUGCACAGAUGGCACAUCUGUCUCCCUCAGCUAAAUGUCAGGAAAUGCUCCUCACAUUCCAGCUUAGAUUUGCCCAUUUGCUGAAUUAAAUCAUCAACCUGAAGACCGAAGAAGCUCAACGGCUAGUAAGGGUUAUUUCAUUGUGUUCCUUUUCUUUCACAACUGCAGCAACGGGAAUCACCUCUCGUUGGGGAAACCGUGCUAGAACCUUAAACUUUCCUGUCGCUAAGUGGGGUGCACUACGUUUAUGGUUACAGUUCUGAAGAGACUGCCAGGAAGGCUUUGGAAAUGGGAUCCCUCUUUUCCCCUACCAAAAGCAAGAGGCGGCUGAAUUAAUACUGUAAAUAGAAGAAAGGGUGGAGAAGGAAAACUGUGGCCAACUGUUUGAACACAGGGUUAAAAUUGCACUCUUUUGUGGCGUGAUGGAGGAAAAGGAGUCUAAAAUCAGUUCACCAGCAUUCAGGACAAAAGGGAGUCGCGAUGCUUUCUGGGCAGGUAACCUGGGUGACUGGCGUACCGAGCCUGCUGGGCAGCCUCACGUCUCCGGAUCCCCAGACCAGGCCCUCAGCACCCCUCUUUCUUGCCUGCCUGGGUGUGCCAAUGUAGCUGAAGAGCUGAGGCUUUCCCCAGUACCGCAGGCUGCCAGCAUGAGUAGCCCCCGGCCAACGCUCCACAGUUUCCCCUGGUCUCUGCAGCGUGCUUCAGUUUCUCACUGUCCUCAGGAGAAAACGGAGUGCUAG